This is a long non-coding RNA of Bicyclus anynana (squinting bush brown), 771 nucleotides long. RefSeq lists it as uncharacterized. The record is from RefSeq and is a predicted model, not a curated record. NCBI's taxonomy places the organism in Eukaryota, Metazoa, Arthropoda, Insecta, Lepidoptera, Nymphalidae. The transcript is spliced from 2 exons.
AAAAAAUAUAAUAAAUCUCAGGCCGUAUGGUCAACGAUCAUAACUUGUUACCACAUGAAAGAUAAAUUAAAAAUGUCGUAAAACAUUGUAUCAAACUUUUUUUAUUAAAUUAUCAAAGUAUAAUUUCAUUAUUGAAGUAGAAUAUUUUAGAUUUUUUAGAUGGAUUCACCCUGCGGAUGCCGAGUGAAUCCAUCUAAAAAAUCUCGAUAUCUCAUCUUAAUUUAAAUUACAAUCUCAUAUUCGCCACUACCUCCGACAGUCGAAGGGUUAAUAACAAAGCAUGAACUAUUGCGAAUUUACAAGCAUUUUCAACCUUUAUUCUUAUCGAUAUUACAUGUUCGACUUGAUUAAAUAAGUAAUUUUAUUUGUAUAAAUAAUCAUAGCUUCGUACGUAGGUUCCGUUAUAAAUACCUUGCAAAUAUUACUUGCAAACGUUGAUUUUUUGCUCGGACAUAAUUUAAAAGAUCCAAUAUGCUUUUGUGUAAAAUUAUUUUAGCCGUUGCGAUGGUUGUAUUAGCAUGCGCUCAGAGGCCAUUUUACGCUGGUCGUCCACCGGUUUAUAAAGGCUGGGAUCGAAAGGAGUCGGACAUCCCUUUCAUUGACAGUGACCGAGACUCAGGACUGCUGCAGAAUAUUGCCAGUCUUCCUCAAGAUCAACAACCAUUUUGGUAUCUCAACAAGGAUGCAUAUAACGACCUGAGACAAAAUCCUCAAACCUACCCACUAAGGGAGAGCAUUUUUAAUCAAAAAUAAUAAUAAAUUUUGUAUGAC